AACGCGAAGAACCUUACCUGGGCUUGACAUGUCUCUGACAGCUGUGGAAACACAGUCUCCCUUCGGGGCAGAGUCACAGGUGGUGCAUGGCUGUCGUCAGCUCGUGUCGUGAGAUGUUGGGUUAAGUCCCGCAACGAGCGCAACCCCCGUCGCAUGUUGCCAGCAUUUAGUUGGGGACUCAUGGGAGACUGCCGGGGUCAACUCGGAGGAAGGUGGGGAUGAGGUCAAGUCAUCAUGCCCCUUAUGUCUUGGGCUGCAAACAUGCUACAAUGGCCGGUACAGAGGGCUGCGAGACCGUAAGGUGGAGCGAAAUCUCAAAAAGCCGGUCUCAGUUCGGAUUGGGGUCUGCAACUCGACCCCAUGAAGUCGGAGUCGCUAGUAAUCGCGAAUCAGCAACGUCGCGGUGAAUACGUUCCCGGGCCUUGUACACACCGAGACGAC
Molecule: ribosomal RNA, 441 nt
Filed under: uncultured bacterium
Lineage: Bacteria
Description: bacterial SSU rRNA
Rfam family: Bacterial small subunit ribosomal RNA
Source: RNAcentral